UAGAGAAACGCUACUUCUCCACACUCCCAGGAGGGGGUUCUGCUGACAGCUCCUGGACUGUCACCUGAAUUGGGGUGUGACUGGGCCAGGGAUGUCCCAAGCCAACCAGCCAGGCACCUGCACAGGCAAGAAUUCAAUUCUGGGUCCUGAGCAGGGGGUGUCCUGGUCAACAAGCAACUUCAGUUCUUUGGGACGGGACCCCAGACUUGCUGGUAUGACGUCAUUGUUUCUUUACUGGAGGACAGCAGCGUGUUCCAGGAGCGCAAUGCAGUAGAAAGCAACCACUUGGCCCUAGAGACCGAGACUGAUUUCUGGGAAAGAGGCAGCCAGGCUCCUCCGCCUUACGCAGGUCAUGAAGACUCAGUACCCUGAGAUUGAAGGUCCUCAGUUCCUAGCUA
Molecule: long non-coding RNA, 398 nt
Organism: Cercocebus atys (sooty mangabey)
Lineage: Eukaryota; Metazoa; Chordata; Mammalia; Primates; Cercopithecidae
Exons: 3
Source: RefSeq, a predicted model, not a curated record